Molecule: transfer RNA, 68 nt
Filed under: Mileewa lamellata
Lineage: Eukaryota; Metazoa; Arthropoda; Insecta; Hemiptera; Cicadellidae
Description: tRNA-Leu
Source: RNAcentral
UCUAACGUGGCAGAUUUAAUUGCAAGGAAUUUAAGAUUCCUGUAUAAAUAAUACUUAUUUCUUUAGAA